This 468-nucleotide ribosomal RNA is filed under the name uncultured bacterium. RNAcentral describes it as "partial 16S ribosomal RNA". It matches the Rfam family "Bacterial small subunit ribosomal RNA", at positions 28 to 507 of the family's 1533-position model. The record is from RNAcentral.
GACGAACGCUGGCGGCGUGCUUAACACAUGCAAGUCGAACGGAAAGGCCCUGCUUUUGUGGGGUGCUCGAGUGGCGAACGGGUGAGUAACACGUGAGUAACCUGCCCUUGACUUUGGGAUAACUUCAGGAAACUGGGGCUAAUACUGGAUAGGAGCUCCUGCUGCAUGGUGGUGGUUGGAAAGUUUCGGCGGUUGGGGAUGGACUCGCGGCUUAUCAGCUUGUUGGUGGGGUAGUGGCUUACCAAGGCUUUGACGGGUAGCCGGCCUGAGAGGGUGACCGGCCACAUGGGGACUGAGAUACGGACCAGAAGCCUACGGGAGGCAGCAGGGGGGAAUAUUGCACAAUGGGCGGAAGCCUGAUGCAGCAACGCCGCGUGCGGGAUGACGGCCUUCGGGUUGUAAACCGCUUUCGCCUGUGACGAAGCGUGAGUGACGGUAAUGGGUAAAGAAGCACCGGCUAACUACGUG